UUGAAAGCAACAUGUGAAAAGGUUUAGGACAAAGAGGGUGAAUGGAUAAUGGAGUGUAAAACUUCUCAGAAAGGUUCACCUCUUGAGAUCAUAUAGAAGAUGAUUCAAGUGUGUCCUUAGGAAUAGGCAAAUGAGCAAUAACAAAUAAGCAAAACAAAUGAUACCGGAUGCCAAUUGCUGGACUUACACCAAUCUCACAA
This 200-nucleotide long non-coding RNA is filed under the name Lathyrus oleraceus (garden pea). RNAcentral describes it as "Pisum sativum (pea) long non-coding RNA (PSAT_LNC001537)". The record is from RNAcentral. Lineage: Eukaryota; Viridiplantae; Streptophyta; Magnoliopsida; Fabales; Fabaceae.